Non-coding RNA from Caenorhabditis elegans, 150 nucleotides. NCBI's taxonomy places the organism in Eukaryota, Metazoa, Nematoda, Chromadorea, Rhabditida, Rhabditidae. The record is from Ensembl.
GAAUAAUUCUAAAUUUUUUGAACUUCGCGCGCGAACGAGCGCCCUCUGCGUGUACUCCUCUCGGACAAUCAUAUAAUUAAUAUGUUGAUUAUUGUUUUCGGCUAAUUUUAGGUGAUUGUUGCGGUUUUUAUUGUAUUUUUACAGCAGUCU